AGCGAACGCUGGCGGCAUGCUUAACACAUGCAAGUCGCGCGGGUGGUUUCGGCCAUCAGCGGCGGACGGGUGAGUAUCGCGUAGGAAUGUAUCCCGAGGUGGGGGACAACCCUGGGAAACUGGGGCUAAUACCGCAUGGGGCCUGUGGGUCAAAGCCUUAGGGCGCCUUGGGAGCAGCCUGCGUCCGAUUAGGUAGUUGGUGGGGUAAAGGCCUACCAAGCCUGCGAUCGGUAGCUGGUCUGAGAGGACGAUCAGCCACACUGGGACUGAGACACGGCCCAGAAUCCUACGGGAGGCAGCAGUGGGGAAUAUUGGACAAUGGGCGCAAGCCUGAUCCAGCAAUGCCGCGUGGGUGAAGAAGGUCUUCGGAUUGUAAAGCCCUUUCGGCGGGGACGAUGAUGACGGUACCCGCAGAAGAAGCCCCGGCUAACUUCGUG
RNAcentral lists this ribosomal RNA (437 nucleotides) under uncultured bacterium. RNAcentral describes it as "partial 16S ribosomal RNA". It matches the Rfam family "Bacterial small subunit ribosomal RNA", at positions 28 to 507 of the family's 1533-position model. The record is from RNAcentral.